CCUACGGGAGACAGCAGUGAGGAAUAUUGGUCAAUGGACGCAAGUCUGAACCAGCCAUGCCGCGUGCAGGAAGACGGCCCUAUGAGUUGUAAACUGCUUUUGUACGAGGGUAAACGCAGAUACGCGUAUCUGUCUGAAAGUAUCGUACGAAUAAGGAUCGGCUAACUCCGUGCCAGCAGCCGCGGUAAUACGGAGGAUUCAAGCGUUAUCCGGAUUUAUUGGGUUUAAAGGGUGCGUAGGCGGUCGGAUAAGUUAGAGGUGAAAUCCCGAGGCUCAACUUCGGAAUUGCCUCUGAUACUGUUCGGUAAAAGAGUAGGUGCGGUAGGAGGAAUGUAUGGUGGAGCGGGGAAAUGCUUAGAGAUCAUACAGAA
RNAcentral lists this ribosomal RNA (371 nucleotides) under uncultured bacterium. RNAcentral's name for it is "partial 16S ribosomal RNA". It matches the Rfam family "Bacterial small subunit ribosomal RNA", at positions 338 to 706 of the family's 1533-position model. The record is from RNAcentral.